GACGAACGCUGGCGGCGUGCUUAACACAUGCAAGUCGAACGGAAAGGCCCUGCUUUUGUGGGGUGCUCGAUUGGCGAACGGGUGAGUAACACGUGAGUAACCUGCCCUUGACUUUGUGAUAACUUCAGGAAACUGGGGCUCAUACCGGAUAGGAGCUCCUGCUGCAUGGUGGUGGUUGGAAAGAUUCGGCGGUUGGGGAUGGACUCGCGGCUUAUGCGCUUGUUUGUGUGGUAGGUGUUUACCAAGGCUUUGACGGGUAGCCGGCCUGAGAGGGUGACCGGCGACAUUGGGACUGAGAUACGGCGCAGACUGCUACGGGAGGCAGUAGUGGGGAACAUGGCACAAUGGGCGGAAGUGUGAUGCAGAAAUGCCGGGUGCGGGAUGACGGGUUUUGGGUGGUAAACCGCUUUCGAAUGUGCCGAAGCGUGAGUGACGGUACUGGGUCAAGAAGCACCGGCUAACUACGUG
Molecule: ribosomal RNA, 468 nt
Filed under: uncultured bacterium
Lineage: Bacteria
Description: partial 16S ribosomal RNA
Rfam family: Bacterial small subunit ribosomal RNA
Source: RNAcentral